GGCUUAUUGAAAAUAAUUUUAGGUCUGAUCUGCCCAAUGAAUUAUUAAAUGGCUGCAGUAUUUUAACUGUACAAAGGUAGCAUAAUAAUUAGCUUCUUAAUUAGGGGCUGGAAUGAAUGAUUGAACGAGAUAAUAACUGUCUUAAUAUAAAUUUUAGAAUUUUAUUUUUAAGUUAAAAAGCUUAAAUAUGUUUAAAAGACGAGAAGACCCUAUAGAAUUUUAUAUUAUUAUUAUAUUUAGAUUGUUGAAUUUAAAAUUUAAAUUUUAAUUAGAGUAUUUGGUUGGGGUGAUUGAAAAAUUUAUUUAACUUUUUUAUAAGUAUAACAUAUAUAUAUGUGUAUUUGAUCCAGAGUGUACUGAUUAUAAGAUUAAAUUACCUUAGGGAUAACAGCGUAAUUUUUUUGGAGAGUUCUUAUCGAUAAAAGAGAUUGCGACCUCGAUGUUGGAUUAAAGUUAAUUUUUGAAGUAGAAGUUAAAAAAUUAGGUCUGUUCGACCUUUGAAACUUUACAUGAUCUGAGUUUAAAUCGGCGUGAGCCAGGUUGGAUUCUAUCUUUAAAAUUUAUUAGUAUUAUAGUACGAAAGGACCUAGUAUUAGUUAAAAUAAUUUAAUUUGAGUAUUAUUAAUUAUUUUGGCAGAUUAGUGCUUUAAAUUUAGAAUUUAAAUAUGUAUAUUUAUUUAUACAAAUAAUAC
RNAcentral lists this unclassified non-coding RNA (692 nucleotides) under Uhagoniella laurae. RNAcentral's name for it is "partial contains 16S ribosomal RNA (rrnL) and tRNA-Leu (trnL)". The stretch from base 384 to 542 matches the Rfam family "Bacterial large subunit ribosomal RNA", at positions 2473 to 2632 of the family's 2925-position model. The record is from RNAcentral. Lineage: Eukaryota; Metazoa; Arthropoda; Insecta; Coleoptera; Leiodidae.